AUCCCGUGACUUGUUGAUAUGGCGUUUCCCGGGAGGAGCGGAGUAGUGGGGCCGAGCCUGACGUCCAAACCGGCUUUUGGUCCCAAAGAAGACAGUGGCAGUCAUCUUUGCACUGGCGCGGUCUCGUGUGCUGUGACCAGGGUGUCAGGAGCGGAACGCUGGAGGAUGCCGGACGAGGGGAGGCAGGUCCGCACCUGUCCGCUGUUCCCAGUGUGAUUGAGCAGGCAAAGCAGCCUCCGACCGACCCGGAGCAGGAUGAAUCUCCGAUGUUCCACUGGGAUAGAGACCAGAGAAGACAGUCCAAGCCACAAAAAUAUCAAACAUCCCUCAUCUCAGCCACCAAAACUGCUGCUGCUUUACCAAUUACAAGUUUGUCCUCUGUGUGUUUUGUCUCAGAAAAGAUCCAGCCAUAGAAUUACCACCUCUUCCUGACAUACAACACACGAAAGACCUCACUUCCCUAAACAUACCCUCAAAUCAAUUGACUACACAUCCAGAUCCUACCAGUCUUUUCCCAACAACCCCUUACCUGUGUUUCCCGUCUUGUGUGGACUCGCUUGGUGCAGCAGGCAACAUAAGUCAUGGCUCCACUGCAAAUCUGUUCCGGCUAUUCUCUGGCUGUGAUAGGUGGAUCUGCCCAGCAGCCUCCAGGCCACUGAAGUCUUCACUGCUCUCAGACAGAAGCACCUUCUCCAGCUGAAGGAUUUUGAAGCUCAACUUCUAUCUCGCUGUUAUUUGAUGGAAUUAUCUUCUUUUGUGGAGACAAGAACUUGCUAGGUACACCAGACUGGUCUUGAAGUCACAAUGCCUCUACUUCCCCAGUGGUAGGAUUAUAGGUCUGUGUCACCACUCCUGGCAAUUGGAAUUCUGACUUGAUCUUAAGUUCUCUUUUCUCUUUCCCUUCAUAAUCUCAUCCACACCAGGCUUGAAUUGCUACCCUUUUGGACAUGACUUGUUCAUUUUCCUACUAUCUUUAGAUCUCUGGGCUCCAGUAAUCCCUAGAAUAGUUUAUGGGUGAUCAGAGCACCUCAAGUCCCUGACAGAUUCUAUUUUCUCUACUCCAUCUUUCCUUUAGUCUGUUGCUUGGGCAGAAGAAAGGCAUGUCAAUGGGAGUGUGUAGUAGAGGAGGUUUUCACUUCACAGUGAACAAGCAGAGCGGAACAUCAACAGGAAAGAACCGGGGAAAGAUAUAAUCCCAGAGGACAAGCCCCCAGUGACCUAUUUUCUCCAGUUUCCAUUUUCCACCACGCCACCCCCUGCCAACGAUCUCUUAAAAUGUUGAACCUGCCACAGGGUUAAACCAUUCACUAGCUCAGAGCCUCAUGAUCUAAUUGCUUCAGAACACGAUAUGUUUUACUAAUUUUGUGGACAUCCCUUAAUCCAGUCAAGUUGACCCUCAGUGUCAACCAUCAAAAUGUCCAUGUGCAGAUAUUUGUGUGUACUUAAGUUUUCUGCUUCUGACCAGACAACAAGAGUGCAUUUGUUGGAUUAUAUAGUGCAAGUAUAUCUAGUUUUGGGAGGAGUCAUCAGUGCAUUCCAACAUGGCUGUUGCAUUUUACAUCCCCACCAUCAGGGAAUAGGAGUGCCUGCCCCCCCCCCCCCCCCCCCCCCGUAUCUGCGCCAUCAUUUGUUCUCAGUAUUCUGGGUUUUAACCAUUCUAACAGGUGUGUGGUUAGUAAACUUUGAGUUAGUCAAACUCUAAUUACAGAAAAGUGCAUGAAUCAUAAUUAUAAAGCUGAGUGACUUUCACAGGCCAAACACAGCCAUAUAACAAAGAUUCAGAAAAGAAAAUUCAGAGCACUUUGCACACAUAGAAGCCAUUUCAGUCAUGACCUCGGAAGGAGAUCACAGUUAGCACUCUACCAUGGAAUUUGCCUGGCCUUGAACUGAAUAGGUGGAAUAAUAUGAAUUUGAGCCCAGCCUGGUUACAAAGCGAGUUGUAGGAUGGCCAGAGCUGUUACAUAGAGAAACCCUGUCUUGCACACCGCCACCAAGUUACAAGUUCAACCAUAUUUAAUGUGCAAUCAUGACGCUAAGCACAAUCAUGUCUCAAACCAUCACUGUAGAAACACGGUCAAAGGAUGGAGUCCUUCGAGAAAACCCCAAGAAAACAAGAGCCUUGUGAGCUCAGUUUCUUCAAAACAGAAUUAUUCUUGGAAUAUAGUUUUAUGCUCUUCCCAGGUGUAGCAGAUAGGAAUGAGUUUAUUUCAGAUUUCUCAUUAUUGCUUGCUGCUGUCAUUCAAUUAAAUGCUUAUAUGCCUCUAUGGAAAAACAUUUUUGCCAAGUGCAGCUUGUCCUUGUGAUUGUAUACUUUACACAUUAUUCUUAAUCCUCAGAAUUGAUGCUCUGAAUAAAGUUGGCUACUGCAUGGGA
This is a long non-coding RNA of Peromyscus californicus insignis, 2373 nucleotides long. RefSeq lists it as uncharacterized. The transcript has 2 exons. Lineage: Eukaryota; Metazoa; Chordata; Mammalia; Rodentia; Cricetidae. The record is from RefSeq and is a predicted model, not a curated record.